GGAGAAUGUUAUCACGGGAGACACACGGCGGGUGCUAACGUCCGUCGUGAAGAGGGAAACAACCCAGACCGCCAGCUAAGGUCCCAAAGUCAUGGUUAAGUGGGAAACGAUGUGGGAAGGCCCAGACAGCCAGGAUGUUGGCUUAGAAGCAGCCAUCAUUUAAAGAAAGCGUAAUAGCUCACUGGUCGAGUCGGCCUGCGCGGAAGAUGUAACGGGGCUAAACCAUGCACCGAAGCUGCGGCAGCGAACGUAUCACCCAAGACAACUUUACGGAGUUGACGAUUGACGGAGCGAAGCGACGUCAAAGCGUUCAUUAAAGUCGAGUUGGCUUAGGGAUACGUUCGUUGGGUAGGGGAGCGUUCUGUAAGCCUGUGAAGGUGUGUCGUGAGGCAUGCUGGAGGUAUCAGAAGUGCGAAUGCUGACAUAAGUAACGAUAAAGCGGGUGAAAAGCCCGCUCGCCGGAAGACCAAGGGUUCCUGUCCAACGUUAAUCGGGGCAGGGUGAGUCGACCCCUAAGGCGAGGCCGAAAGGCGUAGUCGAUGGGAAACGGGUUAAUAUUCCCGUACUUGGUGUUACUGCGAAGGGGGGACGGAGAAGGCUAUGUUGGCCGGGCGACGGUUGUCCCGGUUUAAGCGUGUAGGUGUGUGUUCCAGGUAAAUCCGGUUCACUUUAACACUGAGGCGUGAUGACGAGGCACUACGGUGCUGAAGCAACAAAUGCCCUGCUUCCAGGAAAAGCCUCUAAGCAUCAGGUAACAUCAAAUCGUACCCCAAACCGACACAGGUGGUCAGGUAGAGAAUACCAAGGCGCUUGAGAGAACUCGGGUGAAGGAACUAGGCAAAAUGGUGCCGUAACUUCGGGAGAAGGCACGCUGACACGUAGGUGAAGUGAUUUACUCACGGAGCUGAAGUCAGUCGAAGAUACCAGCUGGCUGCAACUGUUUAUUAAAAACACAGCACUGUGCAAACACGAAAGUGGACGUAUACGGUGUGACGCCUGCCCGGUGCCGGAAGGUUAAUUGAUGGGGUCAGCGCAAGCGAAGCUCCUGAUCGAAGCCCCGGUAAACGGCGGCCGUAACUAUAACGGUCCUAAGGUAGCGAAAUUCCUUGUCGGGUAAGUUCCGACCUGCACGAAUGGCGUAAUGAUGGCCAGGCUGUCUCCACCCGAGACUCAGUGAAAUUGAACUCGCUGUGAAGAUGCAGUGUACCCGCGGCAAGACGGAAAGACCCCGUGAACCUUUACUAUAGCUUGACACUGAACAUUGAGCCUUGAUGUGUAGGAUACGGGGGAGGCUCUGAACUGUGGAAGCCAGUCUGCAUGGAGCCGACCCUGAAAUACCACCCUUUAAUGUUUGAUGAUCUAGCGUGGACCCGUAAUCCGGGUUGCGGACAGUGCCUGGUGGGUAGUUUGACUGGUGCGGUCUCCCCCUAAGAAGUAACGGAGGAGCACGAAGGUUGGCUAAUCCUG
This 1467-nucleotide ribosomal RNA is filed under the name Salmonella enterica subsp. enterica serovar Typhimurium. RNAcentral describes it as "bacterial LSU rRNA". It matches the Rfam family "Bacterial large subunit ribosomal RNA", at positions 964 to 2329 of the family's 2925-position model. The record is from RNAcentral. Lineage: Bacteria; Pseudomonadati; Pseudomonadota; Gammaproteobacteria; Enterobacterales; Enterobacteriaceae.